AGUAGUCAUAUGCUUGUCUCAAAGAUUAAGCCAUGCAUGUCUAAGUUCACACCCUUGUACGGUGAAACCSSGAAUGGCUCAUUAAAUCAGUCGAGGUUCCUUAGAUGGUCCAAAUUUACUUGGAUAACUGUGGUAAUUCUAGAGCUAAUACAUGCCCACCAGCUUCGACCCGUGCAGCAAUGUAUGGGAAAGAGCGCUUUUAUUAGUUCAAAACCAGUCGGGUUUCUCUCUCGGGAGGGCUCGUCCGUUGGUGACUCUGGAUAACUUUGUGCCGAUCGCAUGGCCACGAGCCGGCGACGCAUCUUUCAAAUGUCUGCCCUAUCAAAUGACGAUGGUACGUGAUCUGCCUACCAUGUUGGCAACGGGUAGCGGGGAAUCAGGGUUCGAUU
This 389-nucleotide ribosomal RNA is filed under the name Glossaulax reclusiana. Its description in RNAcentral is "SSU rRNA". It matches the Rfam family "Eukaryotic small subunit ribosomal RNA", at positions 19 to 384 of the family's 1831-position model. Lineage: Eukaryota; Metazoa; Mollusca; Gastropoda; Littorinimorpha; Naticidae. The record is from RNAcentral.